Molecule: ribosomal RNA, 278 nt
Filed under: Pseudovibrio sp. AU484_Ted1_MB20NH4
Lineage: Bacteria; Pseudomonadati; Pseudomonadota; Alphaproteobacteria; Hyphomicrobiales; Stappiaceae
Description: partial 16S ribosomal RNA
Rfam family: Bacterial small subunit ribosomal RNA
Source: RNAcentral
UCGAACGGAUCCUUCGGGAUUAGUGGCAGACGGGUGAGUAACGCGUGGGAAGCUACCUUGUGGUAGGGGACAACAGUUGGAAACGACUGCUAAUACCCUAUGAGCCCUAUGGGGGAAAGAUUUAUCGCCAUGAGAUGUGCCCGCGUUAGAUUAGCUAGUUGGUAAGGUAAUGGCUUACCAAGGCGACGAUCUAUAGCUGGUCUGAGAGGAUGAUCAGCCACACUGGGACUGAGACACGGCCCAUACUCCUACGGGAGGCAGCAGUGGGGAAUAUUGGA